AUGAACGCUGGCGGCGUGCCUAAUACAUGCCAGUCGAGCGCACAGACGAGGAGCUUGCUCCUCUGACGUUAGCGGCGGACGGGUGAGUAACACGUGGAUAACCUACCUAUAAGACUGGGAUAACUUCGGGAAACCGGAGCUAAUACCGGAUAAUAUAUUGAACCGCAUGGUUCAAUAGUGAAAGACGGUUUUGCUGUCACUUAUAGAUGGAUCCGCGCCGCAUUAGCUAGUUGGUAAGGUAACGGCUUACCAAGGCAACGAUGCGUAGCCGACCUGAGAGGGUGAUCGGCCACACUGGAACUGAGACACGGUCCAGACUCCUACGGGAGGCAGCAGUAGGGAAUCUUCCGCAAUGGGCGAAAGCCUGACGGAGCAACGCCGCGUGAGUGAUGAAGGUCUUCGGAUCGUAAAACUCUGUUAUUAGGGAAGAACAAAUGUGUAAGUAACUAUGCACGUCUUGACGGUACCUAAUCAGAAAGCCACGGCUAACUACGUG
RNAcentral lists this ribosomal RNA (496 nucleotides) under uncultured bacterium. RNAcentral describes it as "partial 16S ribosomal RNA". It matches the Rfam family "Bacterial small subunit ribosomal RNA", at positions 29 to 507 of the family's 1533-position model. The record is from RNAcentral.